This is a non-coding RNA of Schistosoma mansoni, 45 nucleotides long. The record is from Rfam. Lineage: Eukaryota; Metazoa; Platyhelminthes; Trematoda; Strigeidida; Schistosomatidae.
AUCCAGCUAACGAGUCCCAAAUAGGACGAAACAUGAGUCCUGGAU